Molecule: ribosomal RNA, 397 nt
Filed under: uncultured bacterium
Lineage: Bacteria
Description: partial 16S ribosomal RNA
Rfam family: Bacterial small subunit ribosomal RNA
Source: RNAcentral
AUACGUAGGGGGCGAGCGUUGUCCGGAAUGAUUGGGCGUAAAGGGCGCGUAGGCGGCGCGGUAAGUCUGGAGUGAAAGUCCUGCUUUCAAGGUGGGAAUUGCUUUGGAUACUGCCGCGCUUGAGUGCAGGAGAGGUUAUCGGAAUUCCCGGUGUAGCGGUGAAAUGCGUAGAGAUCGGGAGGAACACCAGUGGCGAAGGCGGGGAACUGGACUGCAACUGAGGCUGAGGCGCGAAAGUGUGGGGAGCAAACAGGAUUAGAUACCCUGGUAGUCCACACUGUAAACGAUGAAUGCUAGGUGUAAGAGGUAUCGACCCCUUUUGUGCCGGAGUCAACACAAUAAGCAUUCCGCCUGGGGAGUACGGCCGCAAGGUUGAAACUCAAAUGAAUUGACGGGG